AACCCUUUUGUUUCUCUCCUUCCACACAACCUAGAAAAUAGUAAGCAGGACAACUCCGCUUGUUUCCUCUUACACCCAAACCUUUCCAAACCCAAAUUUCAUCUCUCACCGAGCCAGCAAGCACUCAACUAAUACCAAGCAUAAGCCAUGAUCCAAAGUCUAUAAACCACUAGACACCAUAGAAGCUGAUGAUUACAAUUUUCCUCUGUCCCGCUUACAUAAGAAGCAUGCAUUCACCAAAAUUUUGCCUCUUUUUUGGAGUUUGUCAAUAGUAAGAAUACAGCUCCUACUAGCCUCCCAUGCAAAGAACAAAAUGCGAGGUGGGACCUUUGUCUUACAGAUCUGCCUAUAUGGGAUAUUUCAACUAGAACCAUUAUGCUUAGCAAGCUACCUGUAAAAGGAUUUAACAGUGAACACGCCCUUCUUUG
RNAcentral lists this long non-coding RNA (428 nucleotides) under Carica papaya (papaya). RNAcentral describes it as "long non-coding RNA (CPAP_LNC000348)". The record is from RNAcentral. Lineage: Eukaryota; Viridiplantae; Streptophyta; Magnoliopsida; Brassicales; Caricaceae.